Molecule: ribosomal RNA, 505 nt
Filed under: uncultured Glomeromycotina
Lineage: Eukaryota; Fungi; Glomeromycota
Description: SSU rRNA
Rfam family: Eukaryotic small subunit ribosomal RNA
Source: RNAcentral
CAGCCGCGGUAAUUCCAGCUCCAAUAGCGUAUAUUAAAGUUGUUGCAGUUAAAAAGCUCGUAGUUGAAUUUCGGGAUCAAUACGUCGGUCGUGCCUUUGGUAUGUACUGGCGUUGUUGGUUUCUCCUUUCUGAGGAGCCAUGAUGCCAUUAAUUUGGUGUCGUGGGGAAUCAGGACUGUUACUUUGAAAAAAUUAGAGUGUUUAAAGCAGGCACACGCUUGAAUACAUUAGCAUGGAAUAAUGAAAUAGGACGUUCGAUUCUAUUUUGUUGGUUUCUAGGAUCAACGUAAUGAUUAAUAGGGAUAGUUGGGGGCAUUAGUAUUCAAUUGUCAGAGGUGAAAUUCUUGGAUUUAUUGAAGACUAACUACUGCGAAAGCAUUUGCCAAGGAUGUUUUCAUUAAUCAAGAACGAAAGUUAGGGGAUCGAAGACGAUCAGAUACCGUCGUAGUCUUAACCAUAAACUAUGCCGACUAGGGAUCGGAUGAUGUUAAUUUUUUAAUGACUC